Molecule: long non-coding RNA, 629 nt
Filed under: Mus musculus (house mouse)
Lineage: Eukaryota; Metazoa; Chordata; Mammalia; Rodentia; Muridae
Description: zinc finger E-box binding homeobox 2, opposite strand
Rfam family: ZEB2 antisense RNA 1 conserved region 1 (bases 251-381)
Source: RNAcentral
UGUUUUCUUCCCCUCUCAAGAAAGGAAAGAGAAAGUCCGUGGCCACUAUUUAAGUUGUUCUAAAUGAUCGUGUCCUUUUUGGCUUCGAAACUUUUGUACCUAAAAAUCGAGGGAGGCGCUGCAUUCUUUCAGCUCAAACUGUCAAAACUUGGAGAAGGGGAACCUCGGAGGCAGGCCGGAGAAGAGGAGAGCCCUGAAACUCCGCGGGGUGGGAAGACGCUGUGCCUCGAGGAUUAGUUUAAACAGCGGGCUAUAAAAGAUGUAACAGAUGCAAACUGUAACACAAGGGCCAUUAACCCUUUCUCUGCCGCCCAGCACGCCCAGUCCCUACACCCUGCACCUAUUGUCUCCGGUGCCACAAGCUUUGCGGAAAACCUGGAAAGGGAGAGAAGAGAGACCCUGAAACACGCGCCACCUAUCUUUGUGGGGAGGGAUAAUUGAAGCGCCCUGAGCGUGAGCAUCAUGUGAAAACGUGAUCGCCAAGUUUCUCUCUGGGAAAGGAUCUGGGAUAGAUUAUACCUUGAAGUCUCCGCAAACGCUUUAGUGGAAGAAAUGAAAUUCCACCUCCCUCCCUUCCUCUCUCCCUCCCUCCCUUCUCCACGCCCCCCCCCCCCCCCCCCCCCCCCGUC